RNAcentral lists this ribosomal RNA (411 nucleotides) under Lautropia sp. canine oral taxon 175. RNAcentral describes it as "bacterial SSU rRNA". It matches the Rfam family "Bacterial small subunit ribosomal RNA", at positions 9 to 422 of the family's 1533-position model. The record is from RNAcentral. Lineage: Bacteria; Pseudomonadati; Pseudomonadota; Betaproteobacteria; Burkholderiales; Burkholderiaceae.
GAGUUUGAUUCUGGCUCAGAUUGAACGCUGGCGGCAUGCUUUACACAUGCAAGUCGAACGGCAGCGCGGGCUUCGGCCUGGCGGCGAGUGGCGAACGGGUGAGUAAUACAUCGGAACGUACCUGGUAGUGGGGGAUAGCUCGGCGAAAGCCGGAUUAAUACCGCAUACGACCUCAGGGUGAAAGCGGGGGACCUUCGGGCCUCGCGCUAUCAGAGCGGCCGAUGGCAGAUUAGCUAGUUGGUGAGGUAAAGGCUUACCAAGGCGACGAUCUGUAGCUGGUCUGAGAGGACGACCAGCCACACUGGGACUGAGACACGGCCCAGACUCCUACGGGAGGCAGCAGUGGGGAAUUUUGGACAAUGGGCGCAAGCCUGAUCCAGCAAUGCCGCGUGUGUGAUGAAGGCCUUCGGG